UUUUAUUCCAAAUUUCCCAGAAUUUUGUGAAUUUUAAAUGGAAUUUUUUGCUUUUUAAUGAGAUUUUCUCCAGAUUUUUUAAAUAAUUUGGGAAAUAUUUCAUUUUUUUAUGGAAUAUUCCCAAAAUAUUCCCAAUUUUUCCUGGAAUUCUCUCCUCAGGUCGCCAUGGAGACGGAUCCUAUUGGCCCCUGGACAUCGACCGCAGCAUCAAUGAUUCUCCAGUUGGACAAAGAAAUUCAGCUCCAGGCACCGGAAUUUUGCUCCUCAUCCUUGGAAUAUCCGGAGGCGUCUCCGUGGUGGCCGCGGCCGUCGGAGCCUGGAUCUGCUCCAGGAGAAACGAGGAGAGGAAGAGGAAGUAAGGAAAUUCCCAAAGGGGAUUUUGAGGGGGAAAAUUGGGAAAAAAUUGGGAUUUUUUUGGGAAUUUUUUGGGAUUUUUUUGGGAUUUUUUUGGGAUUUUUUUUGGUUUUUUUUUUUAAUUUUUUGGGAAUUUUUUUGGGAUUUUUUGAGAAUUUUUGGGGGAUUUUUUGGGAUUUUUUGGGGAUUUUUUUAGGAUUUUUUGGGAAUUUUUUGGGAUUUUUUGGGGAUUUUUUUGGGGAUUUUUUGGAUUUUUUGGGGAUUUUUUUUGGAUUUUUAGGGAUUUCUCAAGGGGUUUUUUGGAGAAUUUUUUAG
This 669-nucleotide long non-coding RNA is filed under the name Cyanistes caeruleus (blue tit). RNAcentral describes it as "lncRNA (ENSCCEG00000005365.1)". The record is from RNAcentral. Lineage: Eukaryota; Metazoa; Chordata; Aves; Passeriformes; Paridae.